Molecule: ribosomal RNA, 1548 nt
Filed under: human gut metagenome
Description: bacterial LSU rRNA
Rfam family: Bacterial large subunit ribosomal RNA
Source: RNAcentral
CUAAGGUCCCAAAGUCAUGGUUAAGUGGGAAACGAUGUGGGAAGGCCCAGACAGCCAGGAUGUUGGCUUAGAAGCAGCCAUCAUUUAAAGAAAGCGUAAUAGCUCACUGGUCGAGUCGGCCUGCGCGGAAGAUGUAACGGGGCUAAACCAUGCACCGAAGCUGCGGCAGCGACACUAUGUGUUGUUGGGUAGGGGAGCGUUCUGUAAGCCUGUGAAGGUGUACUGUGAGGUAUGCUGGAGGUAUCAGAAGUGCGAAUGCUGACAUAAGUAACGAUAAAGCGGGUGAAAAGCCCGCUCGCCGGAAGACCAAGGGUUCCUGUCCAACGUUAAUCGGGGCAGGGUGAGUCGACCCCUAAGGCGAGGCCGAAAGGCGUAGUCGAUGGGAAACAGGUUAAUAUUCCUGUACUUGGUGUUACUGCGAAGGGGGGACGGAGAAGGCUAUGUUGGCCGGGCGACGGUUGUCCCGGUUUAAGCGUGUAGGCUGGUUUUCCAGGCAAAUCCGGAAAAUCAAGGCUGAGGCGUGAUGACGAGGCACUACGGUGCUGAAGCGACAAAUGCCCUGCUUCCAGGAAAAGCCUCUAAGCAUCAGGUAACAUCAAAUCGUACCCCAAACCGACACAGGUGGUCAGGUAGAGAAUACCAAGGCGCUUGAGAGAACUCGGGUGAAGGAACUAGGCAAAAUGGUGCCGUAACUUCGGGAGAAGGCACGCUGAUAUGUAGGUGAAGCGACUUGCUCGUGGAGCUGAAAUCAGUCGAAGAUACCAGCUGGCUGCAACUGUUUAUUAAAAACACAGCACUGUGCAAACACGAAAGUGGACGUAUACGGUGUGACGCCUGCCCGGUGCCGGAAGGUUAAUUGAUGGGGUUAGCGGUAACGCGAAGCUCUUGAUCGAAGCCCCGGUAAACGGCGGCCGUAACUAUAACGGUCCUAAGGUAGCGAAAUUCCUUGUCGGGUAAGUUCCGACCUGCACGAAUGGCGUAAUGAUGGCCAGGCUGUCUCCACCCGAGACUCAGUGAAAUUGAACUCGCUGUGAAGAUGCAGUGUACCCGCGGCAAGACGGAAAGACCCCGUGAACCUUUACUAUAGCUUGACACUGAACAUUGAGCCUUGAUGUGUAGGAUAGGUGGGAGGCUUUGAAGUGUGGACGCCAGUCUGCAUGGAGCCGACCUUGAAAUACCACCCUUUAAUGUUUGAUGUUCUAACGUGGGCCCCUUACCGGGGUUGCGGACAGUGUCUGGUGGGUAGUUUGACUGGGGCGGUCUCCUCCUAAAGAGUAACGGAGGAGCACGAAGGUUGGCUAAUCCUGGUCGGACAUCAGGAGGUUAGUGCAAUGGCAUAAGCCAGCUUGACUGCGAGCGUGACGGCGCGAGCAGGUGCGAAAGCAGGUCAUAGUGAUCCGGUGGUUCUGAAUGGAAGGGCCAUCGCUCAACGGAUAAAAGGUACUCCGGGGAUAACAGGCUGAUACCGCCCAAGAGUUCAUAUCGACGGCGGUGUUUGGCACCUCGAUGUCGGCUCAUCACAUCCUGGGGCUGAAGUAGGUCCCAAGG